GAAAAACAUGUCGCGAGGGCAAUUUUGCAAAAGUCCCCUCUCUAAUUUCUCCCGACCAAAUCCGCGCUCCCUCGUCGUUCUCCUCCGACAGAAGCCGCAGCUGCGCUGCUCCCCGCCGCUGUAGCUGCCCUGCUCCCCCGCUCCCCCGCCGCAGCUGCCUCCUGCUCCGCCACCGCAACUGCCGCUUGCUUGCCUCCCCAAGCUCCCCCUUCCUAAAAAAACCUUCGAUUUCCCCAGCUACCGCCGCGCUCUGCUUCGGCUGCGUCGGAACCGGCGUCGGCGAGCCCGGAGGCGCUGGAUCCGGUCCACCACCAACAACCUAAAGGCCGACGAGGCCGAUGAGCCCGACGACGACAGGAGAUGCAGCAAGCUAAACGCCGAUGAGGCCGACGACGACGGCAAGUAAAGGCCGUCGAUUUGCGGGCGUGGAAGAUGACGACGACAGCUUCACAAGGAAUACGAUCGCGGCGGCGUCUUCUUCGCUGUUUCUCUGGUGGAAGACCCGCGCCUGCGACACCGCGGCAGCAGUGGCGGUUGUCCAGUGGGCCGUGCCUGCUCACUUGGCAGCAGCGGCGGCGGCUACAAAUCUUCUCCAGCAUCUCCAAGUCCUACAGCCUGGGUCAUCUCCGUCACCAACGCCUACAGCCUGGGUAUGAACCUCUCUUCUCUACUCAUCUUUACUGAAUGUACUGAAUGUGCGUAGUCUCUGAACUGAAUUUUACUUAAUGUGCGUAUUCUCUGUCUACUGAAUUUUAGUGAAUGUACUCCUGUAAACUGAGAAUGUACUCUUGUAAAGUGUGCUGUCAACUUGUGAAUUUUACUUCUCAUGUUGGGCUCCUCUCAUUCUUUCCCCCAAUUCAGUAUUGUUGUGUAGAAAUUGAUUCAAAUUCUUUACAUAGCCAUUGAUCAAGAUCCACCAGUAAAAUAAGAUCCCCCCUUCUAUUUGUGUUACAAAUAAAACAUGUGCAAUAUUUUUAAAUCUGUUCAUUUGCUCAAAUUAACUCAACUGGUUCUACAAAUAAAUGGAGUCCAUUGGUUUGACUCCAUUCUGUCUAAUAAAUCAUGGUACAAACAGUUUCUACAGCCAUUCUCUUAUUCGUUCCUCUACAUGAGUACUGAUAGAGGUCCCAGAGCUGUGGAUGCAUCUAUGUGCUUGUGAAUCCAUGCUAAAUUGGUAAAUUCAGUUAACUGAAUUUGACUGAGCACUUUUGUACCAACAGUAAACUGAUGCUUGUAAACCCAAGGAUUGCAACAUAAAUGUUUACCGAAACAUUUGCAAACACAGAUCAUGGCAGUAAGACAUCCAUGUUGAGUAUGGCAUCCAUCUUGUGCAUUCAUAUGGUACUACAGCUUCCUGUAAACAGAUUAUUAUUUAGAUUAAAGAUUAUGCUGAAGACUAUGCCUAGCUAGAAUUUGUGUCGUGGCAGCAGCUGAAAUACCUAUUGCUAUGAGGCAAAGCUUUCUGCAGAUGAUACUCCAGUGCACAUGUGGCUGGAUGCUGGUGGCAGAAGUAACAGAUUGAUUUAGAUAAAUCUUCAAGACU
RNAcentral lists this long non-coding RNA (1543 nucleotides) under Triticum aestivum (bread wheat). RNAcentral's name for it is "long non-coding RNA (TAES_LNC004449)". Lineage: Eukaryota; Viridiplantae; Streptophyta; Magnoliopsida; Poales; Poaceae. The record is from RNAcentral.